Gymnodraco acuticeps is the source of this 573-nucleotide long non-coding RNA. RefSeq lists it as uncharacterized. Lineage: Eukaryota; Metazoa; Chordata; Actinopteri; Perciformes; Bathydraconidae. The transcript has 3 exons. The record is from RefSeq and is a predicted model, not a curated record.
UUUUCCACUCCCUCAUCAGUCCCAGUGUUUACAUGAUGGCACCGCAUGGCGUGUGUUUAAGCCUAAGCCCCGCCCCUCUUGGCCUGAGACGUGGUUCUGACGCGAUGACGUCACCACGUAAGUUGUUGGGUUGGAGACUUUGAUGGCGUCGAAGGCUCGGAGCUGGAGAGGGACGCAGUAGAGAUGGCCUCGGCUCGGAUAUUAUGACUAAUGCCUAUUUGAUCGACGUUUAUUUGCUGCUUACUAACUGCACGGGUUUCGGGUGAACCUUUGGCUUCUCAUCGGUCCUGCAGCUGAUUUCCAUGUCUUACGUGUAAGAGUUUCCAAACAGGAUCAUCAGGACUGCUCACUGUCCGUUACCGAUUGUCUGACUGGUCCCGGCCGUUCCUCGUUGGUUGACCCACUCCUUCCCCGGCGCCAUGGUAAAGCACCUUCCCCUCAUGCAUGCUUUUGAAACAGUGACUGCUGUGUGUCCGGGGGCCAGCGCUGCGUUCUGCAGAAUGAGAAACUCCCCAUUGAUUUUUCCUUUUUAAAUCAGCGCUGCUUACCAGGAAGCAGACGGUCUAAUCAGCU